RNAcentral lists this small RNA (125 nucleotides) under Marmota monax (woodchuck). The record is from RNAcentral. Lineage: Eukaryota; Metazoa; Chordata; Mammalia; Rodentia; Sciuridae.
GCCAGGUGCGGUGACGCACACCUGUAAUCCCAGUGGCUCCGGAAGCUGAGGUAGGAGGACUGAAAGUUCAAAGCCAGCCUCAGCAAAAACGGGGUGCUAAACAAUUCAGUGAGACCCUGUCUCUA